CAGUAGCCGCGGUAAUGCGUGGGUCCCGAGCGUUGUCCGGAUUUAUUGGGCGUAAAGCGGGCGCAGGCGGUCAAUUAAGUCUGAUGUGAAAGCCCCCGGCUCAACCGGGGAGGGUCAUUGGAAACUGGUUGACUUGAGUGCAGAAGAGGAGAGUGGAAUUCCGUGUGUAGCGGUGAAAUGCGUAGAUAUAUGGAGGAACACCAGUGGCGAAGGCGACUCUCUGGUCUGUAACUGACGCUGAGGCUCGAAAGCGUGGGUAGCAAACAGGAUUAGAUACCCCGGUAGUCCCUGUCUCUUAUAC
This 301-nucleotide ribosomal RNA is filed under the name uncultured bacterium. RNAcentral describes it as "partial 16S ribosomal RNA". It matches the Rfam family "Bacterial small subunit ribosomal RNA", at positions 509 to 807 of the family's 1533-position model. The record is from RNAcentral.